Molecule: unclassified non-coding RNA, 209 nt
Filed under: plant metagenome
Description: partial contains small subunit ribosomal RNA, internal transcribed spacer 1, and 5.8S ribosomal RNA
Source: RNAcentral
UCUCCGUUGGUGAACCAGCGGAGGGAUCAUUACUGGAAUCGCAAGAUCCCACAACCCUGUGAACCUACCGAAACGUUGCCUCGGCGGGUGCCUGGCCCCCGCACCGGGCGCUGCGCCCGCCGGCGGCCCCCUACUCUGUCUCUGCAGCGUGGCAUCUCAGAGUCCCAGAAAACAAGUCAAAACUUUCAACAACGGAUCUCUUGGCUCUA